UCGGCCCACUAGAAUCUGCCCCGGCGCACCGAAGCCCGAUGAUCCCCGGCGUCGUCUUCUCGAACAAAAGGCCGCUCCGGCGACGGCGGCCGCUAGCGGCGGUCAGCACUCUUAAGGUUGGACCCGGCGGGAGCCCCCCUGUUUCGGGAGAGCAAACUCGCAGGAGACAAUGGAGGUGGUGGCGUCGCCGACACCGGCGGAGACGUACGAGCUCGGGUUCAUCGGAGCCGGCAAGAUGGCGGAGUCCAUCGCGAGGGGGUGGUCAAGUCCGGCGUCUUGCCGGCAUCCAGGAUUCGCGCCGCCGCUCACACCAACCCGAGCCGAGGCGCCGCAUUCGAAUCCCUCGGCGUCCCAGUCCUCUCCGAAUGUCAAGCUGUUGCGUAUCCCUUCUCUCUCUCUCUCUCUCUCUCUCUCUCUCUCUCUCUCUCAUGGGAAGCUGUAAAGGAAUGUGAAAUAAUCGGAUCUUCGGACCGCCUGGGGAGAAUGCAGUCGAUGUAAUUAGCGUCAAGUUUCAGUUUUUAUGGAAUAGGCGUGAAAAAGGUGCGAGCUUUGCCUUUGCCAUGACGUAUAUUUGCUGCCCCGCGCUCUGCCUCGGUGUGUUACGAUUACAGGGUUCUAGUUUCGUUAUUGGAACGACAUUGAUAUUCAAUGCUGAACAGCUCAAAAUCUUUAUUAUGAGAAUUCGAUGUCCUAGCUCUGCCUCUGGGUUUUUGCAUUUGCUCACGGCGAAAAAAUUCAGGCUGUUGCUUCAUCCUUUAGUUGCCGGCAUUGGUUUGUGUAAGUUAAUUGGGUGGAAAAUGACAAUUUGCGUGUCUUGUCUGCUCGAGCAACUUCUUGAGCAAAUCCAAUGUCUUGCCCGGGUCUUUCGGACAGCGAAAUCUCUUCUUAUAUUUUAUGUUAAAUUCUUCUCCAUAGAAAGAGAGCAAGCAAGUUGGUUUAGCAGUUGUACAGCUUGCGGUUCAGUAGACCUACUACUAUUAUUUUUCUUCUUGUUUGUGGAUGUGAGAAAUGAGUGGAUGAACGACUGCUAGUUGUUCUACCUCCUGGGGUUUCUUGACGAUUUUAAUCUUGAGUCGCUUGUUCCCCUUAUCAUAAAGAAACUCAAAUUUUAUGAAAGCAGGUAGUUGAAGAUGGUGAUGUGGUCAUCUUCUCAGUGAAACCCCAAGUUGUUAAAGGUGUUGUCUCUCAGUUGAGGCCACUACUAUCAAAGAAGCAGCUUUUGGUCUCAGUAUUUGCCAGAGUAAAAUUGAAGGAUUUGUUGGAUUGGGCUGGCCAUGAUUGAUUUAUCCAUGUGAUGCCGAAUACUCCUGCUGCUGCUGUUAUGAGUCGGGGAGGAGCAGUGAAAGAAGAGGAUGCAGAACUCAUUGCUAUUUUAAUCGGAUCUAUAGGCAAGAUGUGGAAAGCUGAUGAAAAAUAUUUCAAUGCAAUUACUGGCCUGAGUGGCCCAGCAUGUGUAUAUCUUUCUAGCAAUAGAACCUCUGGCUGAUGGAGGAGUUGCUGCAGGUCUUCCAAGAGAUCUUGCGUUAGGUCUAGCUUCUCAAACGGUGUCGGGUGCAGCAUCUAUGGCCUCUAAAAUGGGCAAGCAUCCCGGUCAGCUCAAGGAAGAUGUUGCAUCACCCGGGGGUACUACAAUUGCUGGUAUUCAUGAACUGGAAAAGGGUGGAUUUCGGGGGAUUUUGAUGAAUGCAGUCAUUGUUGCUGCUAAGCGUGGCAGUGAACUUCCCCCCUUCCUAAUUCUGACUUCAACUUUUCAGUCCACAUCGUAUUCAUCAUUUUAGAGAAAAUAGCUCGAAAGGGUGAGCUUGGUUGUUCCUCUGAUUUUGACUUGAAUAGCAGUUUUACCUUAGGCUGGGCUGCUCUAAGGGUUCAUUUUUCAGCUGUUAAAAUCUAUUUAGUCGCAUUGCAAUCCUUCUGCUUGGUUUUUGUCUACAAGAAAGGGCGAUUACACUUUUUGGUGCA
This is an RNA transcript of Eucalyptus grandis, 1959 nucleotides long. It is a transcript of the gene named pyrroline-5-carboxylate reductase, with no coding region annotated. The transcript has 6 exons. The record is from RefSeq and is a predicted model, not a curated record. NCBI's taxonomy places the organism in Eukaryota, Viridiplantae, Streptophyta, Magnoliopsida, Myrtales, Myrtaceae.